UACGUAGGGUGCAAGCGUUACUCGGAAUUACUGGGCGUAAAGCGUGCGUAGGUGGUUUGUUAAGUCUGAUGUGAAAGCCCUGGGCUCAACCUGGGAAUUGCAUUGGAUACUGGCAGGCUAGAGUGCGGUAGAGGGUAGUGGAAUUCCCGGUGUAGCAGUGAAAUGCGUAGAUAUCAGGAGGAAUACCGAUGGCGAAGGCAGGUCUCUGGGCUGACACUGACGCUCAUGCACGAAAGCGUGGGGAGCAAACAGG
This 253-nucleotide ribosomal RNA is filed under the name uncultured bacterium. RNAcentral's name for it is "partial 16S ribosomal RNA". It matches the Rfam family "Bacterial small subunit ribosomal RNA", at positions 524 to 776 of the family's 1533-position model. The record is from RNAcentral.